AGCAAGACUCUUAGAAUCUAUGGAUUUCCAGGUUUGUGUUUAAUUGGACAUUUCCUGAUCUUUCCAGGAACCUGAAGUAAUUUGUAUCCAUAG
RNAcentral lists this long non-coding RNA (93 nucleotides) under Monodelphis domestica (gray short-tailed opossum). Its description in RNAcentral is "lncRNA (ENSMODG00000042207.1)". The record is from RNAcentral. Lineage: Eukaryota; Metazoa; Chordata; Mammalia; Didelphimorphia; Didelphidae.